AGAGUUUGAUCAUGGCUCAGAACGUACGCUGGCGGCACGCCUAACACAUGCAAGUCGAACGAAGUAGCAAUACUUAGUGGCAGACGGGUGAGUAACAUGUGGGUAUCUGCCCUUUGGCCUGGAAUAACACGAGGAAACUUGUGCUAAUACCGGAUAAGUCUUUACGGAGAAAGCUUUAUGCACCAUUGGAUGAGCCCGCACUUGAUUAGUUUGUUGGUAGGGUAAUGGCCUACCAAGACUGUGAUCAAUAGCUGAUUUGAGAGGAUGAUCAGCCACAUUGGGACUGAGACACGGCCCAAACUCCUACGGGAGGCAGCAGUGGGGAAUCUUGCACAAUGGAGGAAACUCUGAUGCAGCGAUGCCGCGUGAGUGAAGAAGGCCUUUGGGUUGUAAAGCUCUUUCGUCGGGGAAGAAAAUGACUGUACCCGAAUAAGAAGGUCCGGCUAACUUCGUGCCAGCAGCCGCGGUAAUACGAAGGGACCUAGCGUAGUUCGGAAUUACUGGGCUUAAAGAGUUCGUAGGUGGUUGAAAAAGUUGGUGGUGAAAUCCCAGAGCUUAACUCUGGAACUGCCAUCAAAACUUUUCAGCUAGAGUUUGAUAGAGGAAAGCAGAAUUUCUAGUGUAGAGGUGAAAUUCGUAGAUAUUAGAAAGAAUACCAAUUGCGAAGGCAGCUUUCUGGAUCAUUACUGACACUGAGGAACGAAAGCAUGGGUAGCGAAGAGGAUUAGAUACCCUCGUAGUCCAUGCCGUAAACGAUGUGUGUUAGACGUUGGAAAUUUAUUUUCAGUGUCGCAGCGAAAGCGAUAAACACACCGCCUGGGGAGUACGACCGCAAGGUUAAAACUCAAAUGAAUUGACGGGGACCCGCACAAGUAGUGGAGCAUGUGGUUUAAUUCGAAGAUACGCGCAGAACCUUACCAACACUUGACAUGUUCGUCGCGACUUUAAGAGAUUAAAGUUUUCGGUUCGGCCGGACGAAACACAGGUGCUGCAUGGCUGUCGUCAGCUCGUGUCGUGAGAUGUUGGGUUAAGUCCCGCAACGAGCGCAACCCUCACUUUUAGUUGCCAUCAUUAAGUUGGGCACUCUGAAAGAACUGCCAGUGAUAAGCUGGAGGAAGGUGGGGAUGACGUCAAGUCCUCAUGGCCCUUACGUGUUGGGCUACACACGUGCUACAAUGGUAUCUACAACAGGAAGCAAAACAGCGAUGUUAAGCAAAUCCUUAAAAGAUACCUCAGUUCGGAUUGCACUCUGCAACUCGAGUGCAUGAAGCUGGAAUUACUAGUAAUCGUGGAUCAGCGUGCCACGGUGAAUGCGUUCCCGGGUCUUGUACACACCGCCCGUCACACCAUGGGAGUUGGUUCUACCUUAAGGCAAGGUUUUAAACCCUUGACCACGGUAUAGUCAGCGACUGGGGUGAAGUCGUAACAAGGUAGCCGUAGGGGAACCUGCGGCUG
This 1455-nucleotide ribosomal RNA is filed under the name Pelagibacteraceae bacterium AG-345-O09. RNAcentral describes it as "bacterial SSU rRNA". It matches the Rfam family "Bacterial small subunit ribosomal RNA". RNAcentral also lists the same sequence under 1 other name. The record is from RNAcentral. Lineage: Bacteria; Pseudomonadati; Pseudomonadota; Alphaproteobacteria; Candidatus Pelagibacterales; Candidatus Pelagibacteraceae.